UCUCUCUCCCGCAUAAGUCGCCUUCCUCCCCUUGACGAAAAAAAGUCGCCUUCCUCCUGCGCCUACUAUUAGGCCCUAUUUUCAAUUGAUUUCCAAAGGAAAAUAGCGCUAUCUUCAAUCAAUCUGUUGGAGAUGAGUUUGAUCCGGCAACAAAUCCUCCUCACGGAUCCAUCGCUCCAGCAAUAUGGUGGAGAAGCAAGUUGUGAACAUCAUGUGAUCUCUUUCCAGAUUGGAACAGGCUUAUACAAAAAUAACAUCUCUUGGACGGUCUGAGUUCGCGCCCGGCAUGGUAGGUUUGUCGCCAAGCUAUCAACUCAAUAAAAGGUAAACACAUCGUGUUCCUGUGCACUGUGUUUCAAGCCGCAAUGAUUGAUUAUGUGCAUCGUGGACGUGGACAUGGAUGGUGUGUACGUGCAUGUUCAGGCCUAUCAAGGAUGCCUUCUAUGUUUGCAUCUUGUCGGACGAUCCCUGUGCAGGACGACAUCAAGAUUGAAUCAAGCCAUCCUGCUUCGCUACAGUUUAGAAGUCGACGCCGCAGACAUAUCUAUGGCGUGCGUUUGUUAACAGUUCAAGCAAUGAUUGAUUAUGUGCAUCGUUGAUCA
Molecule: long non-coding RNA, 602 nt
Organism: Triticum aestivum (bread wheat)
Lineage: Eukaryota; Viridiplantae; Streptophyta; Magnoliopsida; Poales; Poaceae
Exons: 2
Source: RefSeq, a predicted model, not a curated record